This 320-nucleotide ribosomal RNA is filed under the name uncultured eukaryote. Its description in RNAcentral is "partial 18S ribosomal RNA". It matches the Rfam family "Eukaryotic small subunit ribosomal RNA", at positions 1470 to 1796 of the family's 1831-position model. The record is from RNAcentral.
CCCCUAAAUGUUCUGGGCCGCACGCGCGCUACACUGAACAGUUCAACAAGUCUUAACCUUGGCCGAUAGGUCUGGGUAAUCUUUGAACGCUGUUCGUGAUUGGGAUAGACCUUUGCAAUUAUGGGUCUUCAACGAGGAAUUCCUAGUAAACGCAAGUCAUCAGCUUGCAUUGAUUACGUCCCUGCCCUUUGUACACACCGCCCGUCGCACCUACCGAUUGAAUGGUCCGGUGAAAUCUCGGGACGGCGGCUUGGUCGCUUGCGUCCGACUGCUGAAACUUGAUUAAACCAUNUNAUUUAGNGGAAGGUGAANUCGUANCA